GACGAACGCUGGCGGCGUGCUUAACACAUGCAAGUUGAACGAAGCAUAUGAGUGGAAGCCUACGGGUGGAAAGGCAUAUGACUGAGUGGCGGACGGGUGAGUAACGCGUGAGCAACCUGCCUGCAAGAGGGGGACAACAGCUGGAAACGGCUGCUAAUACCGCAUAAGACCACAGCAUCGCAUGAUGAAGAGGUCAAAGGAGGAAUCCACUUGCAGAUGGGCUCGCGUCCCAUUAGGUAGUUGGUGAGGUAAGGGCUCACCAAGCCGACGAUGGGUAGCCGACCUGAGAGGGUGAUCGGCCACACUGGAACUGAGACACGGUCCAG
This 326-nucleotide ribosomal RNA is filed under the name uncultured bacterium. Its description in RNAcentral is "bacterial SSU rRNA". It matches the Rfam family "Bacterial small subunit ribosomal RNA", at positions 28 to 334 of the family's 1533-position model. The record is from RNAcentral.